RNAcentral lists this ribosomal RNA (468 nucleotides) under uncultured bacterium. Its description in RNAcentral is "partial 16S ribosomal RNA". It matches the Rfam family "Bacterial small subunit ribosomal RNA", at positions 28 to 507 of the family's 1533-position model. The record is from RNAcentral.
GACGAACGCUGGCGGCGUGCUUAACACAUGCAAGUCGAACGGAAAGGCCCUGCUUUUGUGGGGUGCUCGAGUGGCGAACGGGUGAGUAACACGUGAGUAACCUGCCCUUGACUUUGGGAUAACUUCAGGAAACUGGGGCUAAUACCGGAUAGGAGCUCCUGCUGCAUGGUGGGGGUUGGAAAGUUUCGGCGGUUGGGGAUGGACUCGCGGCUUAUCAGCUUGUUGGUGGGGUAGUGGCUUACCAAGGCUUUGACGGGUAGCCGGCCUGAGAGGGUGACCGGCCACAUUGGGACUGAGAUACGGCCCAGACGCCUGCGGGAGGCAGCAGUGGGGAAUAUUGCACAAUGGGCGGAAGCCUGAUGCAGCAGCGCCGCGUGCGGGAUGACGGCCUUCGGGUUGUAAACCGCUUUCGCCUGUGACGAAGCGUGAGUGACGGUAAUGGGUAAAGAAGCACCGGCUAACUACGUG